AAGUCUGAUAUUUUUGGGUUCAUUGCUCCAUCCAACAGAACAUUACUUGCUUUCAGGUCCCUGUGUAUGAUUUUCAAUCUAGAGUACUUGUGGAUAUAAAGUACUCCCUGAGCAAUACCCUCUAUAAUUCGAAAGCGUUUUCCCCAAUCUAAUUCUGCAUUUUCAGAUGGAUCUGAUAGGACCAACCAUGAAGAAAAUUUAGCUAAGUGUUUUUCUUUUUAUUUUAGAUGAAAUGCUGGACAAAUGGAAAAAGAUCUUGCAUUACACAACUUUUGCACAUUGAAAAGGAUCUUCUAAGAUAUGAGGAUACACCAAACAAAAGUUGGUCCAAACUUCCGUUGGGCAUGAACUCAUAGUGUUUAUGUUGGCGAGUCCUUAUUUCAUUAGAAUUUUGGUUACUUACCAAUUAUAUUUUGUCAUAUUGUAAUAGAGAUUAUUUUAUUUAGUGUUAUAGGGGUUGAUGAUAACCCUCAUAGAGGUAGCACCACCGACUCAUUCUCUCAUUCUCCACCAACCAUCGUUGAGUUGAGUGCCCAGAUGGCUCCGCUCCUACAGAUGCAGACUUUUACCCCGAACCUAAUCCAGAAUCAGGAUCCUCUUUUGACGACCCCGACCCCGACUCCGACUAUGACGACAACGACCCCGACCCUGACUCCGAAGACGACCCCGACCCCGACUCCAAAGACGACCCCGACCCCGACUCCGAAGACGACCCCGACCCCGACUCCGAUGAUGACCCCAACCCCGAAUUUGGCUCUGAUUCAGACCUUGAUCCCGAUUUCAACUCUGACUCCGGCCUCGACUCAGGCUCAUAUUCCGAUCCCAAUUCCUACUCAACUGUAUCCUAUGCAUCUUCCGCUGCACAGAUUAUGACUUCUCGACUAACGACCCCGACGCAUGGACCAGAUUGCGCAUUUUGUGAAAUCCGAGGAUCAAUUGGCGGAUAUUUUGACAAAGGCGAUUUUCAGUAAAGCAUUCCACAAUUCACUGGAUCAGUUGGGCAUUGGCGACAUCUAUGCACCAACGUGAGGGGGAGUGUUGGCGUGACUUGUGGAUAUUGACUUACUUUCCUUACACACCAAGAAUUCCUAUUAUAAUUGUAAUUGAUUUACUUUAAUUCCUGAUUUCCUACUCUAAAUAGAUUUAGGAAUUUAUUAUUUACUUGCCCAUUCAGGUUUCAUUGUAUUAUAAAUAUGACCUCCUACAAGGAAAAGAAUACACAGAAAAUUCCCACAAACAAAUAUUCUCUCAUAGUUUUAAUAUUUUAGCAGUUUAUACCGGAGAUAAAUGGCCUAUGACAACCAAACACGUGGACAGGAUCGAUUCUGGCUGCAGAAACGCCUUCGGCAUGCUUCCUACCGAAGCCAUCUAUCUUGGCCCUUUUUACCAUCGGACACGUGUCAUGCUCACAAUCCAUGUCCACAGUCCCACAUCGGAAAUAUGAGCAUAGUGCACACCUCCCAAGGCCUAUAUAAGAAGACCCCUAUCCCCAAAAGGAGGGAAAUCAGAACUAACGGUACGCUACCGAUUGAUCUGUCAGUUAAUAUUACUAAAACCGUACUUACUAAAGCAUCGGAGAGCCUUCGGUCGGUACCACACCGGUGCCCCAAGGACUUACCGAACGCGUCCUUUUGCAGGUACUUACCCUUCCGAAGUAGAACAUCUUCCGAGGACAGUCACCUGCCGAAGGCAUAAUAUAACUAAGUUGACGAAAUACGUGCCGAACCACUUUUUCGCAUCAACACAUAGAUCAAGAUCAGUUCCUCCUCCUCAAUACAGCAACCUAAGAGCCUAACAAAAUUGGUAUGCUUGAGCUUGGCUAUAAGAUUUAACUCAUUUAUGAACUCCUCAUGUCCUUGCCCUGAUUUCUUUGACAGUCUUUUUAUGGCUACUUCUUGAUUUUCAGGCAAAAUCCCCUGCAGUGGAAGGAAAAUCAAACACAAAGUGAACCACCAUCCUACCAAUCGAACUUAAUUAGGAAAAAGGUUGUUAAGAGAACCAAAAAGUAUAAUAUUUAUGAAAGAAAACUAAUGUACUUUAAUUACCAAUACAAAAUGGAAGAGUCACCUUAUAAACAGGGCCAAAUCCUCCCUCUCCCAGUUUAUUAGCUUCAGAGAAGUUGUUUAUUGUAUUUAAUAUACUCUUUAAACCGAAGAGUGGUAGUUCUGUGUCAUUCUUUCCACUUCCAGCACCAUAAUUUAUUUUAGUCGCACCAUACUUCCUCCUCUGCGUCCUGUUUCAGUCUUUGUCAGAGCAUGGAUAAUUUGUUUAUAGAAUCCGUAUGAAUGCACGAGUAUGUCUGUGUGUGAGAAAGAGAGACAGAGUGAUGGCAAUACCUUCGCUUCCCCAAUCUUUUCUUCCAUAGGAAAUAGCAAAAAAUUAUCAUAAGCAACUCUGCUGCUGCUGAGACCAUUGCAAUUAUAAGGGGGCGCUUAUCCGUAUCACCCUUGCCAUCUGCAAAAAAUUAAAUAAAAUUAAAUUAAAUAUUCAGGUUGACCAAUUACAAGAUGGCUAUCCAAGAAAUGAUCUUUCAUAACAACACCAACAAUUAUUCACUUACUACUUUGGAGAUGCAUAAGCUCAGAAGCUACACGUCUGAUGUAUGAAGUUCUUCCACCAGCGUCAUCUGCCACAAGUUCUUGCACACCCAGGAGAUCUCCAAUCCAAAUUGAACAUGCGUUACUGCUUUCAUAAGCAAAAGCAGUGCAAGAGCAGUUAUUUAAGCAGAUUGAUUCACAUUUCUUAGCACUCCCAACCUUAACAUGCAGUUCAUUUUCAGACAUUGACAUGCUAUGCAUUUCUAGAAACUGGUCUUCUGUCCGAAUAACACUAGUUGAAUUCCCACACUGCAAAUUAGUUUUUCUUUGACACCCACCUGAGUAAUCCUGCAAAGCCCAAUCCCGUGGCGACUUCUGUUCAAAACCCACCAAACAAUUACACAAGACCCCGGAUUUUUCAUUGCAACUCCCAAAUGCCCCGCAAAUCGCAUAAACAGCACAUUGCUGUCUUGGUUGAGACCAAAACAUUUUCCAUGGCCUGGAAGGCAUAAACCAAACUACUUGCUGAACCUGCCCCGAUACUGAUAUCACGAAUGGAGAUACUUUCUUAGGAUCAUAAAGCGAAUAGGUCAUAUAACUUCCGUUUUCAUUUGAAACAAAGCUGUAGUUGAAGACGUAAUUACGCCUCAUAUAAGGAACCAAGCUGAAAAGAUUUGAACUUGCAUUCCAAGAUCCACUGGUCCAACACUGUUUAGACCUAUUCCACAGUAAGAUAUAUGAAUUGCUUCGGUCUAGCUUAAAAGAGUAAAGACCUGGUGCAGGAUCCCGUGAGUUCUUCCAUGAAGUGAGAAUUUGGGUUUGAUUGGUAAGAUUGUUGAAUCAAUCUUGGCUCCUGGUAGCCAUGUAUGGGUUGGAUGAUCAAAGCUUUGCCAUACAAACUCAGAUGUACUAGAAUGAGCUCUUAAGACAAGAUUUUCCACUAUCUAAAAGAACUGCUUGCACAGAAGCAGAGGUGGUGGUGGAGGUCAAAUGUGUGGAUCAAACUGGAGUUUUGGCCCCAUUAAAGAGAACUAAAUUGCCAUAUUUGAUCUUCAACACCGAUGAAAAUCUAUCAGAGAUAGGUUUUUCCCUAUUUGCCACCCAAACUAUGGUACUCGCAGAUACCACUCGGCCGGAAUACCAGGUACCUAUGUAGUGGAGGCCAUCUAAUUCGAAUAACCCCAGUUCAAAAUCCCUGGAGACGAUUGUCUGGUCACCGGAGAGAAAUUGGUUUGCAGUGAUGGUGUCAGCUGCAAAGGAGAUACUGAACUCGAGAAAUAGGCACAAUAAAACAACUAUAAACACCAACAUUGGGUUGGUUUUGGUAUCCAUGGCUGCAGUAAGAUACAGUAAAGAAUUAGGAAAUUAUCUCAUAAUUAUACAAUGAUUUAUCAACUAUAUAAAAAUAGGAAAGUAAAUCCCUUAAUUAAUUAAGGAAGUAAAUCUCCUUGAUUAAUUAGGAGACUCAUGUCAACACUCCUCCUCAAGUUGGUGCAUAUAUGUCACCAAUGCUCAACUUGAUAAGUGAGUCAUAAAAUACUCUUCUACAAACAGUUUUGGUUAAGAUAUCUGCCAAUUGAUCUUCUGAUUUUACGAAUGGUAGGCGGAUGAUCUUCUUCUUAAGUUUUUCUUUGAUAAAAUGUCUAUCCACCUCAACAUGUUUAGUUCGAUCAUGUUGAACUGGAUUAUGGGCAAUAUCGAUGGCUGACAUGUUAUGACAAUGUAACUCCAUUGGCUUUUCUGGCUUGAACCCCAAUUCUGUCAAUAGUCUUCUUAUCCGUAGUAAUUCACAAACUUCUUGAGCCAUUCCUCGAUACUCUGCUUCAGCACUAGAUCGAGAAACUAAAUUUUGUUUCUUACUCCGCUAAGUGACUAGGUUACCUCCCACAAAAGUGAAGUAACCUGAAGUAGAGCGUCUGUCAGUAACGGAGCCAGCCCAAUCAGCAUCUGUAUAUCCAACAACUUCGAGAUCUCUAUUUUUGGAGAACGUUAACCCUUUCCCAGGUGCUGACUUUAAGUAUCUUAAGAUCCGAUCAACUGUAUUCCUAUGGGACACACAAGGUGAAUGUAUAAACUGACUAACCACACUCACAGCAUAUGCAAUAUCUGGUCUUCUGUGAGCUAAAUAUAUCAACAUUCCAACAAGGCGUUGGUACUGUUCCUUAUUGGUUGGUUCUUGAUCCAUGUCUUCACAUAACUUGUGAUUUAUCUUGAUGAAUGUAUCAACAUGUUUGUAUCCAAGCAUUCCUGUUUCAGUGAGCAGAUCUAAUACAUACUUCCUUUGAGACAGAAAUAUACCAGUUAUGGACCUGGCUACUUCAAUUCUUAGAAAGUACUUCAGAUCACCUAAAUCUUUCAUCUCAAAUUCCUGAGACAAAUACUUCUGCAGUUUCAGUUGCUCUCCUGUGUCGUUUCCAGUUACGACUAUGUCAUCCACAUAAACAAUCAAUGCAGUAAGUCUUCUUCCAUCACGCUUAAAGAACGAAGUGUGAUAUGCAUUACUUUGUAUAUAUCCAAAAUUCUUCAUGGAUUCAGUGAAUCUGCCAAACCAUGCCCUAGGAGAUUGCUUUAACCCAUACAAUGACUUUCUGAGCUUGCAAACUUGAUUCUCCUUGUCACGAGCUAAGUUACAUCUUGGUGGAAAGUCCAUAUAUACUUCUUCUUCCAAGUCUCCAUGUAAGAAAGCAUUUUUGACAUCAAACUGAUGUAAUGACCAAUCGAGAUUUGCUACUAGAGAGAGAAGGACUCUGAUAGUUUUAAUCUUGGCUACUGGCGCAAAGGUCUCUUAGUAGUCUAUCCCAUAUCUUUGUGUGUACCCAUUCGCCACCAAUCUAGCUUUAUAUCUUUCAAUGGAUCCAUAUGCUUUAAGUUUCACAGUAUAAAUCCACCUACAUCCCACUGUCUUCUUUCCAUGAGGUAAUGACAUGAGUUCCCAUGUGCCAUUUUUCUGGAGAGCUCUUCAUUCAUGGCUUCUUUCCAUUUUGAGUCUUCUAGCGCUUCAGUUAUACUGUUGGGAACGGGUAUGUCAGCCAACUGCUUCACAAAGUGUACCCAAGACUCUAAUAGUCUGCUGAUGGAUACAUAAUUGUUGAUGGGAUAUUUCCUUUUUGCAUUAAGAUCUGCUUCAUAGUGAACUGGAGGUUUCCACGGUUAUUUCGUUUUGGAAGUUGAUAUGCAGGCUCUGUGCCUUUUGAAAUUAAAUCAUUAAGGGAUAUUUCAUUAAUGUUAUCAGUUUCAGGAGAAGAUGUUACAUGAAUGACGUCCUCAGUAGGUGAUUGGUGUGGUACUGGAGCUGAAGAAUUCUCCUGCACAGGCAAAAACUCCUUAAUGAUGAUCUCCUCCUGAGUUUGAUAGCAGGGAGACGACCGGUCGCUGUCCCUUGGCGACCGGUUGCUUUUUCACAGAGUUGAAUUCUUGCUGGGUGACUGGUCGCUAUAAUUGGGCAACCGGUCGUUUUCAGUCUGGGAUGUUUCUACAGGAAAAAAUUCAGAAAUUGGAGAAGUGUUGGCAUUUCGAUCCUCCUCCUGGACGGUUGAAAAAUAUGUCAGGUUCCCGGAAUACAACAUCCAUAGAAAUAUAGACUUUCUAACUUGGAGGAUGAUAACACCGGUACCCCUUUUUGAUGAGGUGCAUAGCCGAUGAAAACACAUUUUUUGACGCGGGGAUCCAAUUUGCUGCGUUGGUGAUCAUGUAAGUGGACGAAGACCACACAGCCAAAGAUCCGGGGUUCCAGGUUUUUGGUAAGAGGUAUUUGGAGAUGGUGGUAGAGUGUUUGAAGGGGGGUUUGGAAAUUGAGGAUAUUGGAGGGAAUCCGAUUGAUAAGGUAUGUUGCAGAGAGGACGACUUCUCCCCAAAAGAAUCGAGGCAUAUUGGCACCAAAGAGAGAGGCACGAACCACUUCCAAUAAGUGUAUAUUCUUUCGUUUAGCCACACCAUUCUGUUGAGAAAUGUAAGGGCAUGAGCGUUGAUGUAUGAUGCCAUGAUCUUGUAAAAACUGAUUAAGAUCAUGGUUGAUAAAUUCUCCGCCAUUGUCAGACCGAAGAACCUAAAUUCUAGUAUGAAAUUGUGUCUCUACCAUUUGAUAGAACUGUUGAAAUUUAGAAUUGACUUCCCCUUUUAUUUGGAGAAGAGAAACCUAGGUCAUACGUGUGCAAUCAUCGAUAAACGUGACAAACCAUCUAGCUCCCCCAGGAGUGGUAAUUUUAGCCGGACCCCAAACAUCAGAAUGAACAAGAGAAAAAUGAACCAAACUUUUAUGUGAACUUAAGGGAAAAGGAACACGAUGGCUCUUAGCUAGUUCACAGAUGUCACACGUAAAACUAGAAAUAUCUAACUGGAAAAAUAAGGAAGGAAAUAGCUUAUGUAAAUAUUCAAACGACGCAUGUCCAAGACGUCGAUGCCAUAACCAUGCUUCGGAAGUUUGCUUCUCAACACUCGUACCCCCAAUUUUGUAAGUUUGACUGAGGCUGGCUUCAUUGUUAGAGGCCAAGUCCAGAUAGUAGAGUUUGCCCCUCAUAGUACCCCAACCAAUCAUCUUGCUGUUGAGGAUGUCCUGAAAAACACAAUAAGUAGGCCAAAAGGUUACAGUGCAAUUCAAAGCUGUAGUAAUUUGGGCAACAGACAAAAGAUUAUGAUGUAAGGAUGGAGCAAUCAACAUAGAAUUCAAAGUGAGGGAGUUAGAGAGAGAGAGGGAACCCUCCUCAAUUACUGGGGAAGGGGUACCGUUGGCAUUAGACACCACCGAUUGAGAAGAAGGUGUACGAGAUGUAAGUUGUCCAGGAUCAAAGGUCAUGUGAUCAGUGGCUCCGGUGUCAAUGGCCCAAAUGUGUUUCUUUGAAGAACUAUGUAAAACAUAACCGUGGGAACCUGUUGUGGCAAUGUUGGAGGAUGGGGAAGUGAAGGCAGCUGUUAAGGAAGAUGAGACGAUAUUCAUGGCAGCAGAAGGAUUUAAGAAUAAGAGAACAAAAAAAGAAUUUGUGUUUAUUGUUUUGUGAUAAGAGGAUAUGAGGAUUUCGGUAUGAAGAUCUGGAUAUGAAGCUGUAAAUAUGAGGAAUUUGAUUCAUGGCAGCGGAGGGAUUUAAGAAUAAGAGAACAAAAAAAGAAUUUUUGUUUAGGGUUUUGUGAUAAGAGGAUAUGAGGAUUUGGGUAUGAAUAUCUGGAUCUGAAGCUGUAAAUAUGAGGAAUUUGAUUUAGGGUUUGGGUGUGAAGAAAUUUGAUAUGAGGAUUUAGAGUUUGUGUUUGAAGAAAUUUGAUAUGAGGAUUUAGGGUUUGUGUUUGAAGAAAAUUUGAUAUGAGAAUUUAGAGACAACCGAGGAUCGAUUGCUCUGAUACCAUGCUAAAAUAUGAAUAUGGUUUGAAUGUAUUAGGUUAUUUUUAUUCUUUUCCAUAAAGAGGCAUAUAUAAGAGUUUACAUGUACUAUACAAGGAAUUAGAUACAAUAAAGAAUUAGAAAAGUAUAUCCUAAUUAUACAAUGAUUUAUCAAUUAUAUAAAAAUAGGAAAGUAAAUCCCUUAAGUAAUCAAGGAAGUAAAUCUCUUUGAUUAAUUAGAAGACUCACGUCAACAGUCUUGCUACUUAAUCGAAGUUAACCAUUGAAUGGUCAAGUCAUGCGUCUGCAAUGACAACAAUGAGAAUUAAGGAUAAUGAAUGAGUGCUGCAUAUUUUCCUUUCAGCAUUGCUUUCAAACUUGUUAUAAAUUUGCCACUAUACUUUCGUGAAUGCCAAUUACUUUGAAUUUCUUAUAAUUUUUGUUUCGUGAAUUUGUGGUGGGUGUGUCUGGAAGCAAAAUAAUUUAUGUUUUUAUCAUACAUGUUACUUUUCAAAGAAAAUCUUCUUCCAUCUAGGGGAUACUCAAUUCAAAUACUUCACCUAAUAAAAUGUUAGAGAGAGACUAGCUUAGUUUCCUGGCAUUUUACUCGAAAGUCUUUAGUCAAUCUUUCCAUAUUUUCUGUCACUUUCUGUGUAAACAAACACGUGUGUGGCUCCCCCAAUUUCUUUAUUAUUGUUUCUCACUUUCGUUACUAAGCUCUACUUGGAGGACGGUCUCAAAAACUAUACUUGAGGGGAUGGUAAGGUAAAUCCAAUUUAAGAAUAUUCAACCAUUUGAGCAUCCAUGGCUUCACAAAAAAUUUGCAAUAGUUGAAUACCAGCUGAACAUUCCAAGUCAACAAAGUCAACUAUUGAAGGGUCUACGCUCCGUUCUCUCUUUAGUUUGAGAGUCCUUGGCUCUGUAACUCUGCCCGUUUAACCAUGCAUGCGGCAUUGUUUUAAGCAUUCAUAGACCAAACUUGCCUUUCUAAAUGUUAUAACUUUUUAGGUAUACAGUUCUGUUCAUGUUCAUUGCUCUGCAAUGUGUAAAGAUCUUGGAAUAUUUGUUCAGUGAGGCUUCUUUUUAAGUUUCUCACACCUGAACCAGACCAAUAUAAGUUGUGAAGCACUUUCGUUUACUUAAAUAAUAAAAAAGAGUCUUGGACAUUGCCAAAGUCUUGCACACUUGAUUGUGAGUACUCUUGUCACAGUGUUUUCAUUUUUCGUUUAUAUAUCCAACAAUAAAUGUGUAUAGGAAAGGUAACAUUUUUGAGCUUCUAUCGACCUUCUGGCAAACUAAUGGUUACUGCAUUAUUGGAAAUAAUGGGAGUUGUUUGAGGAGAAGAACUAACAGCAACGGAAUUCCUAUGUGUUGAAAAAGCAGGUUCUUUGGAGGGUGGAAGAGAUGUAGCUUCAUUGGCCAGCAUAAGAAUUACAGAAGACAUUGUUGGCCGAUCAGCUGGAUCUUCUUGAACACACAAAAAUCCUACCUGUAUACACUUCAAAGCUUCAUCAUGCCGGCAUGUUUCCCUCACUGAUGCAUCGAUAACCUCCAUUCCUCUACCUUCUCUCCAUAAUUCCCAUGCCUAAUUAAGAUUCAACAUGUAAACCCAUUAGUCUUGCAUGACCGUUCACAUACUUAUAUUAUUUCAAGUUUAUAGUUAAUUAUAAAUUUUUCAGGCUUAGGAUACAUUAGAAUUUUUAUUACUCACCCAUCCAGCAAGAGUUAGUGAAUGUUCAAAGCGAUGAAAAGCAGCAUUCUUCUUUCCACUAACAAUCUCCAGCAGCAACACUCCAAAACUAAACACAUCCAGUUUCUCAGAGAAAUGGCCAUAUCUUGCAUACUCAGGUGACAUGUAGCCGCUGCAUAAAUUGACGGUAGAGAAGUAAGCAAAAGCAAUGAUUGUAUAAGAUUUCAAUGAUUGAAAACAUGUGCCAUGUAUAUAUAUAUAUAUAUACUUACUAUGUGCCAACAACUCUGUUAGUAUUUGCUUCAGUUUGAUUUAUCUCAAAAAUCUUUGCCAUUCCAAAGUCUGAAAUUUUGGGGUUCAUUGCUCCAUCCAACAGAACAUUACUUGCUUUCAGGUCCCUGUGAAUGAUUUUCAAUCUGGAAUACUUGUGGAUAUAAAGUAUUCCUUGAGCAAUAC
RNAcentral lists this long non-coding RNA (9991 nucleotides) under Prunus persica (peach). RNAcentral's name for it is "long non-coding RNA (PPER_LNC003827)". The record is from RNAcentral. Lineage: Eukaryota; Viridiplantae; Streptophyta; Magnoliopsida; Rosales; Rosaceae.